RNAcentral lists this ribosomal RNA (253 nucleotides) under uncultured bacterium. RNAcentral describes it as "partial 16S ribosomal RNA". It matches the Rfam family "Bacterial small subunit ribosomal RNA", at positions 524 to 776 of the family's 1533-position model. The record is from RNAcentral.
UACGUAGGGUGCAAGCGUUGUCCGGAAUUAUUGGGCGUAAAGAGCUCGUAGGCGGUUUGUCGCGUCUGCUGUGAAAACUCGGGGCUUAACUCCGGGCCUGCAGUGGGUACGGGCGGACUAGAGUUCGGCAGGGGAGACUGGAAUUCCUGGUGUAGCGGUGAAAUGCGCAGAUAUCAGGAGGAACACCGGUGGCGAAGGCGGGUCUCUGGGCCGAUACUGACGCUGAGGAGCGAAAGCGUGGGGAGCGAACAGG